CAGCCGCCGCGGGAAUACGUAGGGUGCGAGCGUUAAUCGGAAUUACUGGGCGUAAAGCGUGCGCAGGCGGUUCGUUAAGACAGAUGUGAAAUCCCCGGGCUUAACCUGGGAACUGCAUUUGUGACUGGCGAGCUAGAGUAUGGCAGAGGGGGGUAGAAUUCCACGUGUAGCAGUGAAAUGCGUAGAGAUGUGGAGGAAUACCGAUGGCGAAGGCAGCCCCCUGGGCCAAUACUGACGCUCAUGCACGAAAGCGUGGGGAGCAAACAGGAUUAGAGACCCCCGUAGUCCCUGUCUCUUAUAC
RNAcentral lists this ribosomal RNA (301 nucleotides) under uncultured bacterium. Its description in RNAcentral is "partial 16S ribosomal RNA". It matches the Rfam family "Bacterial small subunit ribosomal RNA", at positions 509 to 807 of the family's 1533-position model. The record is from RNAcentral.